This 328-nucleotide unclassified non-coding RNA is filed under the name uncultured Chytridiomycota. RNAcentral describes it as "sequence contains ITS2". Lineage: Eukaryota; Fungi; Chytridiomycota. The record is from RNAcentral.
AACGCACAUUGCACUCCUCUGGAGUAUGCCUGUUUGAGAAUCUAUAGUAUUAAUUUCUUGUGAUUUCAUUCGUGAAUGAGCAGGGAGAUAUGAAGUUCCCACCUCUUGGUGGGCUCUUUUAAAUAGAUUGCUACUAGUAAUACGAAAAUGCUUGACAUUUCUCUAUAUAUCUAUUAGAAAAGUAUGUGUAUGAAACUGUGGUUUCUCAUAAUGCCUACUAUUUUAGAGGAGAUUUGGAGUUUUCAUAUGAACAGUUUAGUCCAUACCUAUAAAGGCGCAAGCCUUGAACCAUGGUCUCAAAUCAGGUAGGAAGACCCGCUGAACUUAA